This 850-nucleotide ribosomal RNA is filed under the name bacterium. Its description in RNAcentral is "bacterial SSU rRNA". It matches the Rfam family "Bacterial small subunit ribosomal RNA", at positions 39 to 898 of the family's 1533-position model. The record is from RNAcentral.
GUGAAGUGCGGCUCCUACACAUGCAGUCGAACGAUGAAGCCCUUUCCGGGGUGGAUUAGUGGCGAACGGGUGAGUAACACGUGGGCAAUCUGCCCUUCACUCUGGGACAAGCCCUGGAAACGGGGUCUAAUACCGGAUACCACUUCGUCCCGCAUGGGACGGGGUUGAAAGCUCCGGCGGUGAAGGAUGAGCCCGCGGCCUAUCAGCUUGUUGGUGGGGUGAUGGCCUACCAAGGCGACGACGGGUAGCCGGCCUGAGAGGGCGACCGGCCACACUGGGACUGAGACACGGCCCAGACUCCUACGGGAGGCAGCAGUGGGGAAUAUUGCACAAUGGGCGCAAGCCUGAUGCAGCGACGCCGCGUGAGGGAUGACGGCCUUCGGGUUGUAAACCUCUUUCAGCAGGGAAGAAGCGCAAGUGACGGUACCUGCAGAAGAAGCGCCGGCUAACUACGUGCCAGCAGCCGCGGUAAUACGUAGGGCGCAAGCGUUGUCCGGAAUUAUUGGGCGUAAAGAGCUCGUAGGCGGCUUGUCGCGUCGGUUGUGAAAGCCCGGGGCUUAACCCCGGGUCUGCAGUCGAUACGGGCAGGCUAGAGUGUGGUAGGGGAGAUCGGAAUUCCUGGUGUAGCGGUGAAAUGCGCAGAUAUCAGGAGGAACACCGGUGGCGAAGGCGGAUCUCUGGGCCAUUACUGACGCUGAGGAGCGAAAGCGUGGGGAGCGAACAGGAUUAGAUACCCUGGUAGUCCACGCCGUAAACGUUGGGAACUAGGUGUUGGCGACAUUCCACGUCGUCGGUGCCGCAGCUAACGCAUUAAGUUCCCCGCCUGGGGGAGUACGGCCGCAAGGCUAAA